CCCGCCCGUCCCAGAGCAGCGGAGGCCCGCCCUUUUCAUCUACAGCCUAUCGCAGAGCACGUUGCCGUUCGCGCUGACCAAUAGGAGUGGUGGCCAUCACGGCAAGCCCCGCCCCGCGCCCUACGUCGGGUUAAGCGGGGUCCCUCGCCAGCCCCGCGCUGAACAUACGCCAGGUGGCGCUGUGGCGCGCGGCGGGGCUGUGUGCGCUGAGGCUGCUGAGCGGCGGGUGAGACGCUACCGUCGGCGGCUAGAAGUGCUCGGCUGCUGGCACCCGGGAGAGGAAGGUCCAGGGCGGGCCGGAGACGUAGGGGUCCGCGUCCCUGCGCCCAGGCCUGGCAGCUCCCCGCACUGUGGGCGCCCCGCACCCCAAGCCCCUGCCAGGGCCUUCCUUGGGCUCCCGCAUCCGAGGCUCUGAGACCGGAGUACGACGGAGCUCCUGCGCCUUCCGGGGCUGGGGGCCGGGCCCGCCCGUGCCGCUCCUGGCGGGGCCCUCCAUUGGCACACGCACACCGCAGAGCGUGGCCAUGGAACAGUAACCGGGCUUGUGAGAGGGCUCUACAGUAUCAACUAGGAGACAAGAUCCACGGAUUCACUGUCAACCAGGUAUGGGUCCUUCUCGGCACCUCCUUAUAAAUCCACAUACAUUGCAGGUGCGGCUUCUGACAUAGGUACGGGCCCUUCAGGGUGGAGACUAGCCUUGUCCUCGUGUCCCAAGGCCCUGGCCCAGCUCCUGUUGCAUGAUGGCUACUCGGCUGAACAGAGCUUGUGAGAGACAUGACCCCCGGUCCCUUCCUGGAAUGUCGCGAAGCCUGAUUCUUGUCAGAUUUGAGAGAGUAACACUUCCAGCUG
This 849-nucleotide long non-coding RNA is filed under the name Piliocolobus tephrosceles (Ugandan red Colobus). Its description in RNAcentral is "lncRNA (ENSPTEG00000012340.1)". Lineage: Eukaryota; Metazoa; Chordata; Mammalia; Primates; Cercopithecidae. The record is from RNAcentral.